This 74-nucleotide transfer RNA is filed under the name Acidithrix ferrooxidans. It matches the Rfam family "tRNA". From Rfam's summary of the family: Transfer RNA (tRNA) molecules are approximately 80 nucleotides in length. Their secondary structure includes four short double-helical elements and three loops (D, anti-codon, and T loops). Lineage: Bacteria; Bacillati; Actinomycetota; Acidimicrobiia; Acidimicrobiales; Acidimicrobiaceae. The record is from Rfam by way of RNAcentral.
GGGCCUGUAGCUCAGUCGGUUAGAGCAGGGGACUCAUAAUCCCUUGGUCCCGGGUUCGAGUCCCGGUGGGCCCA